This 496-nucleotide ribosomal RNA is filed under the name uncultured bacterium. RNAcentral's name for it is "partial 16S ribosomal RNA". It matches the Rfam family "Bacterial small subunit ribosomal RNA", at positions 28 to 506 of the family's 1533-position model. The record is from RNAcentral.
GAUGAACGCUGGCGGCGUGCCUAAUACAUGCAAGUCGAGCGAACGGACGAGAAGCUUGCUUCUCUGAUGUUAGCGGCGGACGGGUGAGUAACACGUGGAUAACCUACCUAUAAGACUGGGAUAACUUCGGGAAACCGGAGCUAAUACCGGAUAAUAUUUUGAACCGCAUGGUUCAAAAGUGAAAGACGGUCUUGCUGUCACUUAUAGGUGGAUCCGCGCUGCAUUAGCUAGUUGGUAAGGUAACGGCUUACCAAGGCAACGAUGCAUAGCCGACCUGAGAGGGUGAUCGGCCACACUGGAACUGAGACACGGUCCAGACUCCUACGGGAGGCAGCAGUAGGGAAUCUUCCGCAAUGGGCGAAAGCCUGACGGAGCAACGCCGAGUGAGUGAUGAAGGUCUUCGGAUCGUAAAACUCUGUUAUUAGGGAAGAACAUAUGUGUAAGUAACUGUGCACAUCUUGACGGUACCUAAUCAGAAAGCCACGGCUAACUACGU